Fukomys damarensis (Damara mole-rat) is the source of this 1264-nucleotide long non-coding RNA. RefSeq lists it as uncharacterized. NCBI's taxonomy places the organism in Eukaryota, Metazoa, Chordata, Mammalia, Rodentia, Bathyergidae. The transcript has 3 exons. The record is from RefSeq and is a predicted model, not a curated record.
GAAGGGAAUGUUGGGACUAGGUCCUUCCUCUCUCUCUGACUCCCUGCCGCCAUUCCAACACAGGGCCCCAGACAAACAGGCCAACCAGCCGUGGACUGAAACUUCCAAACUGUGAGCCAAAAUAAGCCUUUCCUCUUUAUAAGGGCAAAGGAGGGGCUUGUCCAGAGGAGAGGUGACAUUCCAGCCCGCCUGCCUGUCACAGAGCAGCCAGCAAUGACUCAGGACCCUGUGGCAGCACGGCCCCACUGAGUCCUCUCAUAAGGCCCAGACCAAACCACAAGGCCAGAAUAUUCACACAGGAUGAUGGUAGCAACUACAAGACUAACCCAGAAAUUCCUAGGACAUGUUGCCCAUGACCACCCAGUGGUCACAAGAAGUAUCUUUUAGGCUGUUUCCACAGGCCAAUGGAAACUGCUGGACUUCAGCUAUUCUUUCUGUUCAAUGAGCAAUUUGGUCACUUGUCUUCAAAGCGGACUCCCUUCGGCUGAAGCCCCAUUUAGCAAAACUCCCCACCACCAUAAAGCUUCACCUGUGCAAAAUAUCGUGUGCUCCUGGUAUUUGGCAUCAUCUCAUUUCCAUUGUUCUUGGACCAAAAGAUCCUGUCUGGUAUCACAACCACAAAUGGCAUACAGAACCAGAAGCUUUCUCAUACUCCACCUCUGAGCCUGCUCUAGGGGAGUCAGAAACUGGGAGGCAGGCAGGGGGCAGAGGAGUAGGACAAUGUAGGGGGAAAGAGGUGAGGGUCAUUGACACUCAUCUAUGCACACAUGUUCACACACUUGCACAUACAUAUACACACUCUUCCCACUUACACCCACACUCACACUCCCAGCCCUCCUUCCCAGCAGGGCUGAGCUGUAGGUUGGGAGGAGGCUCAUUUUUGUUAGAUGUUUUGGUCUUUUUAUUUGCACUGGUCAUUGAAUUAUAGAUUGGAAACAGAUUUUGUGACUUCAAGUGUUUCUUAGACUUUCUGUUACCUACUGGCAUGCAGAGGAGUAUUGAGGCCAUCACCUUUAGCAAUGAGCCCAAGGUCUCAGGGCUACUAAAAGGAGAGCUGGGAUGCAGGCCCAGAUAGGAAGAGCCUCUGCAUUGCAGCUGCCUGGGUUUGCCCCCAGAGUCACAAAGCCUCACAGAGUGUAGACCGGUCUGGGGUAGAGUGCCCAGCUGACACAGCAGGGCUGCAGAAGCUGGAAUCAGUGCUUUUCUGGGGGAGACUUCCCACAUUGCUCUCAUUCCUAUUGCCCUGCUACCUGCAGGAAAUCAG